This 523-nucleotide ribosomal RNA is filed under the name uncultured bacterium. RNAcentral describes it as "bacterial SSU rRNA". It matches the Rfam family "Bacterial small subunit ribosomal RNA", at positions 37 to 573 of the family's 1533-position model. The record is from RNAcentral.
UGGCGGCGUGCCUAACACAUGCAAGUCGAACGCCCUUGCUCUCGCAAGAGAGGCAGGGAGUGGCGGACGGGUGAGUAACACAUGGGUGACCUACCCCCCAGUGAGGAAUACCGGCGAGAAAUCGCCGACAAGACCGCAUAGGGUCUCUGUGGUCAAGCACAGAGAGCAAAGUCUCGCAAGAGACGCUGAGGGAUGGGCCUGUGGCCGAUUAGCUAGUUGGGGGGGUAAGAGCCUCCCAAGGCGACGAUCGGUAGCUGGUCUGAGAGGACGAACAGCCACACUGGGAUUGAGAACGNCCCAGACUCCUACGGGGGGCAGCAGUGAGGAAUUUUCCGCAAUGGGGGCAACCCUGACGGAGCAACGCCGCGUGCAGGAAGACGCUUUUCGGAGUGUAAACUGCUUUUCUGUGGGACGAGAGUGGACGGUACCACAGGAAGAAGCCCCGGCUAACUACGUGCCAGCAGCCGCGGUAAUACGUAGGGGGCGAGCGUUGUCCGGAGUUACUGGGCGUAAAGGGCAUUCA